This 156-nucleotide microRNA precursor is filed under the name Oryza sativa (Asian cultivated rice). Its description in RNAcentral is "miR5831 stem-loop (osa-MIR5831)". The record is from miRBase by way of RNAcentral. Lineage: Eukaryota; Viridiplantae; Streptophyta; Magnoliopsida; Poales; Poaceae.
UUUGGUCAAAUUUAAACUACUCUAAGUUUAACUAAUUUUAUAAAAAGAUAGUAAUAUUUUAAAUAAAUUUUCAUAAUAUAUUUAUUUUGGGUUAAAAAUAUUACUACUUUUUUCUAUAAAAUUAGUCAAACUUAGAAUAGUUGGACUUUAACUAAA